CUGUCUGAAUAUGGGGGGACCAUCCUCCAAGGCUAAAUACUCCUGACUGACCGAUAGUGAACCAGUACCGUGAGGGAAAGGCGAAAAGAACCCCGGCGAGGGGAGUGAAAAAGAACCUGAAACCGUGUACGUACAAGCAGUGGGAGCACAGGUUUACCUGUGUGACUGCGUACCUUUUGUAUAAUGGGUCAGCGACUUAUAUUCUGUAGCAAGGUUAACCGUAUAGGGGAGCCGGAGGGAAACCGAGUCUUAAUUGGGCGUUAAGUUGCAGGGUAUAGACCCGAAACCCGGUGAUCUAGCCAUGGGCAGGUUGAAGGUUGGGUAACACUAACUGGAGGACCGAACCGACUAAUGUUGAAAAAUUAGCGGAUGACCUGUGGCUGGGGGUGAAAGGCCAAUCAAACCGGGAGAUAGCUGGUUCUCCCCGAAAGCUAUUUAGGUAGCGCCUCGUGAAUUCAUCUCCGGGGGUAGAGCACUGUUUCGGCUAGGGGGCCAUCCCGGCUUACCAACCCGAUGCAAACUGCGAAUACCGGAGAAUGUUAUCACGGGAGACACACGGCGGGUGCUAACGUCCGUCGUGAAGAGGGAAACAACCCAGACCGCCAGCUAAGGUCCCAAAGUCAUGGUUAAGUGGGAAACGAUGUGGGAAGGCCCAGACAGCCAGGAUGUUGGCUUAGAAGCAGCCAUCAUUUAAAGAAAGCGUAAUAGCUCACUGGUCGAGUCGGCCUGCGCGGAAGAUGUAACGGGGCUAAACCAU
RNAcentral lists this ribosomal RNA (757 nucleotides) under Salmonella enterica subsp. enterica serovar Paratyphi B var. L(+) tartrate +. Its description in RNAcentral is "partial 23S ribosomal RNA". It matches the Rfam family "Bacterial large subunit ribosomal RNA", at positions 434 to 1190 of the family's 2925-position model. Lineage: Bacteria; Pseudomonadati; Pseudomonadota; Gammaproteobacteria; Enterobacterales; Enterobacteriaceae. The record is from RNAcentral.